Molecule: ribosomal RNA, 253 nt
Filed under: uncultured bacterium
Lineage: Bacteria
Description: partial 16S ribosomal RNA
Rfam family: Bacterial small subunit ribosomal RNA
Source: RNAcentral
UACGAAGGGGGCUAGCGUUGCUCGGAAUGACUGGGCGUAAAGGGCGCGUAGGCGGACGGCUUUGUCGGGCGUGAAAUUCCAGGGCUUAACCUUGGGGCUGCGUUCGAGACGGGUUGUCUAGAGUUUGGAAGAGGGUCGUGGAAUUCCCAGUGUAGAGGUGAAAUUCGUAGAUAUUGGGAAGAACACCGGUGGCGAAGGCGGCGACCUGGUCCUUGACUGACGCUGAGGCGCGAAAGCAUGGGGAGCGAACAGG